RNAcentral lists this ribosomal RNA (639 nucleotides) under uncultured Actinomycetes bacterium. RNAcentral describes it as "bacterial SSU rRNA". It matches the Rfam family "Bacterial small subunit ribosomal RNA", at positions 232 to 885 of the family's 1533-position model. The record is from RNAcentral. Lineage: Bacteria; Bacillati; Actinomycetota; Actinomycetes.
CGCGGCCUAUCAGCUUGUUGGUGAGGUAACGGCUCACCAAGGCAUCAACGGGUAGCUGGUCUGAGAGGACGAUCAGCCACACUGGGACUGAGACACGGCCCAGACUCCUACGGGAGGCAGCAGUAGGGAAUCUUGCGCAAUGGGCGAAAGCCUGACGCAGCAACGCCGCGUGGGGGAUGAAUGCCUUCGGGUUGUAAACCCCUUUCAGCAGGGACGAAAAUGACGGUACCUGCAGAAGAAGCUCCGGCCAACUACGUGCCAGCAGCCGCGGUAAUACGUAGGGAGCGAGCGUUGUCCGGAAUUAUUGGGCGUAAAGAGCUCGUAGGCGGUUCAGUAAGUCGGGUGUGAAAACUCAAGGCUCAACCUUGAGACGCCACUCGAUACUGCUGUGACUUGAGUCCGGUAGAGGAGUGUGGAAUUCCUGGUGUAGCGGUGAAAUGCGCAGAUAUCAGGAGGAACACCAGCGGCGAAGGCGGCACUCUGGGCCGGUACUGACGCUGAGGAGCGAAAGCAUGGGGAGCAAACAGGAUUAGAUACCCUGGUAGUCCAUGCCGUAAACGUUGGGCACUAGGUAUGGGAUCAUAUCAACGGAUUCCGUGCCGUAGCUAACGCAUUAAGUGCCCCGCCUGGGGAGUACGG